AGAAUGACUCUCGGCAACGGAUAUCUAGGCUCUUGCAUCGAUGAAGAACGUAGCGAAAUGCGAUACUUGGUGUGAAUUGCAGAAUCCCGUGAACCAUCGAGUCUUUGAACGCAAGUUGCGCCUGAAGCCAUUAGGUUGAGGGCACGUCUGCCUGGGUGUCACA
Molecule: ribosomal RNA, 163 nt
Filed under: Lilium tsingtauense
Lineage: Eukaryota; Viridiplantae; Streptophyta; Magnoliopsida; Liliales; Liliaceae
Description: 5.8S ribosomal RNA
Rfam family: 5.8S ribosomal RNA
About the family: 5.8S ribosomal RNA (5.8S rRNA) is a component of the large subunit of the eukaryotic ribosome. It is transcribed by RNA polymerase I as part of the 45S precursor that also contains 18S and 28S rRNA.
Source: RNAcentral